This 199-nucleotide long non-coding RNA is filed under the name Prunus persica (peach). Its description in RNAcentral is "long non-coding RNA (PPER_LNC006495)". The record is from RNAcentral. Lineage: Eukaryota; Viridiplantae; Streptophyta; Magnoliopsida; Rosales; Rosaceae.
UUUAAUCCUGUGAUGGUAGGGUAAAGUUCCCCAUUGGCUUGAAAACCAUUGGUGGUCAACAAGUCAACUUUCUUUUGUAUAUGAGCAUGUCACUGCUAGCAAUAAAAACCCUAGCAGACUUCUUAAAAAUAGAUAACGUGCGCCCGAAGUUAUGGAUUUCUAAACAAACAAUUGUGACUUUGAGUGAGGAAUAUCUCCC